Molecule: long non-coding RNA, 390 nt
Filed under: Callithrix jacchus (white-tufted-ear marmoset)
Lineage: Eukaryota; Metazoa; Chordata; Mammalia; Primates; Cebidae
Description: lncRNA (ENSCJAG00000058980.2)
Source: RNAcentral
UAGUGAAGUCUAGUUGCUUUGGGGAAUAUUUUAUAUGUAUAUGAGAGGAAAACAAUCUUCCAGUUGUGCCAUAAAGCCUAUUAUUCAUAUAAUCAUGGGAAUUGUCCUUCUUUUCUCCACCAGACAUUUGUUAAAGGCCUUCUACACCCCAAUUACUGUGUUGAGCCUUCCUGUAAGAUGAAGAUGAGCAUCCUUAGUGAUGAGCCUGAAGGGACUUCUAAGGAAGAGGCCAAAAGGAACCUGCCAAUGGCAGAUGAUAUCCCAGGAGCAGAUAAGGAUGCAGUCAGUGACUGCUGCGAGCUUGCCAGAAGGAGUGCUGAUUACCUGCUCACCAGGGAUGUAAUGUGCAUCAGCAUCUACCACUCAAUAUACAUUGCUGGGGAAGCCUGA